This 205-nucleotide ribosomal RNA is filed under the name uncultured Blastococcus sp. Its description in RNAcentral is "partial 16S ribosomal RNA". It matches the Rfam family "Bacterial small subunit ribosomal RNA", at positions 271 to 488 of the family's 1533-position model. The record is from RNAcentral. Lineage: Bacteria; Bacillati; Actinomycetota; Actinomycetes; Geodermatophilales; Geodermatophilaceae.
AGGCGACGACGGGUAGCCGGCCUGAGAGGGUGUCCGGCCACACUGGGACUGAGACACGGCCCAGACUCCUACGGGAGGCAGCAGUGGGGAAUAUUGCGCAAUGGGCGAAAGCCUGACGCAGCGACGCCGCGUGGGGGAUGACGGCCUUCGGGUUGUAAACCUCUUUCAGCAGGGACGAAGCGAAAGUGACGGUACCUGCAGAAGA